AUGGCCAUGGAGGCGGUGGUCUCAACUUCUUUGAGCGGCAUCAUGUCCUCUCUUGUGAAGUUGGUCGUCAACGAGUGGUGCGUGGAAAAGACCAUGAAGGACGAGCUGACGAACCUCUACGACGAGCUUAUGAACAUGGACGCUUUCCUUGAGGAUGUCUCCAGCGUGCCACCGGAUCAGCUUGAGUCGCAGGUGAAGCUCAGGGCCCGCGAGGUCAGGGAGCUGUCGCAUGCCAUCGGGACACACCUCCACUCCUUCAUGGCACGCAUCGAGUCAACCAAGGGUGCCCUCCUUCCUAGCGUGAGCAAGGUGAACAUUCAGCAAGAGAUGGACAGAUACGUCAAAGAAAUCAUGAAGAAGGUGGAGAAGGUGAGUAAACGGUAUGGCCCUUAUCCUUGUAAGAGUGCCCUGGAAAGUACUUCCUCAUUGGAAGUCAGCACACGUAUGUUUGCCACGGACACUAGGGAAUCUAACCAUGUUGGCCUAGAAGGGGCAAUUGCCGAGCUAACCAAGAAGCUGUCCAAGAGUGAUCAUGUCUCCAUUGUCGGGAUGGGGGGGAUGGGCAAGACCACCCUUGCUCGAGCAGUCUACGACAAGAUGAAAGGUGAUUUUGAUUGCGGAGCUUUUGUUCCCAUCGGUCAGAGAGCCGACAUGAAGAGGGUUCUGAUGUACAUCUUCGACGGACUUCACAUGGAGAUCUAUGGUCACGAACCAGACCAACACCAGCUAACCAACCAGCUGCAAAGUUUCCUGGUGGAUAAGAGGUGCUUAAUUGUCAUCGACGAUAUAUGGGAUAAGGAAACAUGGAACUUUGUUGAACUUGUUUUUAAGGGUUGUGCUGGAAUUAAAAUCAUCACCACCACUCGUAACCGAAAUAUUGUCAAAGGAGUUGGUGUCACAGUGUACACAAUGAAACCACUUUCCCCUGCCGACUCGAAAGAGUUGCUCCGAACCAAAGCUCAAGUUAAAAGCCAUGAUGCAGAAUUUGAUACACUGUCAGAUCAAGUUUUGUGUAAAUGUGGUGGUGUGCCAAUAGCUAUCACUAUGAUAGGUGUGUUGCUUGCAGAACAUCAAAGCAAAGAGUGGCAUGGGGUGUAUGAUUCUAUUGGUUUUGAUGAGCACAAGGAGGAUGGGGCUUUCCAGCACAUAAGGAAGGUGUUAUCCUAUAGCUAUUAUGCUUUACCCUAUAAUAUCAAGAGAUGCUUUCUGUACCUAAGCCUGUUCCCAGAAGACCACUGGAUCGAGAAGAAUAUGCUGAUAUGGAGGUGGGUUGCAGAAGGCCUUGUCCCUGAGGGGUCAUUUGAGAUUGGGGAGACCUAUUUCAAGGAGCUAAUGGAUAGGUGCAUGAUCCAGUGGGCAGUGAGCCCUCAUGACCCCAGCCAAGGUGGUUGCCGUGUCCACAUUUUGAUGCUUCGCGUCAUCCGUGACCUGUCAAGCAGCGAGAAUUUCUCCACCGUGCUAGGCCUAGGCAUGAAGCAGGAGAGCAUAUCCAGAACCAUACCCAUUCAUAGAUUAGCCAUCCACGAAGGCGAAGCAAUGGUGGGUCGAAGUCAAAACAGUAGACUGCUGGAAGUGAGGGAGGUGCUGUCAUUGUAUGCCAGCACAUGCCCCGGCAGCAGCUUGCCACCACUCCGGGAGUUUGAAAACUUGCGUGUAAUGGAUCUGGAGAGAUGUGAUUUAUCCUUGAGAGAUUCCAAUCUGGAGCAGCUCGGCAGAUUGAAAGUGCUCAAGUAUGUUGGGCUUGUCGGCAUACACAUGGCUGAGCUCCCAAGGAGAAUAGGACGCCUCAAGCUACUAGAGAUACUCGACGUGACGGCCACUAGCAUCAGAGAGCUGCCACCGUUCGUCGAGGAGCUAAGGAAGCUUAGGUGCCUGCGUGCUGGCAAGGGCACAAGGAUGAUGGGUCGGGUAGGGAUGCUGACGUGCCUGGAAGAGUUGUGGCUGCACUCGGCGGACAAGUCCCCGGACUUCGCCGCCGAGCUCCAGAAGCUGAGCGAGAUGCGGGUGCUGGUGAUCCACUUGGACGAGGUGGACGAGGGCGUGCAGAAGAAGCUGGUGGUGUCCCUGCAUAAACUGAGGAAGCUCCAGGUCCUGCAGGUCUGGUCCGACGCAGAGGAGAAGGCACGCCUUGGCAGUCGUGAUUGGGAAGGCAGCGUGCCAUCCUCGCAGCUCCGGCAGCUGCUGCUCUUGGGGAUCAUCCUACCCAGGCCGAUGCCGUGGAUCCACCACUCGCGUGUCCCCAAACUCUCCAAGCUGGUGCUGCAGGUGGAGACCCUGGAGGUGCAACAUGUGCAGAUCCUCGGGCAGAUGCCGUCGCUCCGCUCCCUCUGCCUCCACAUCCACUGCUACGGCAACCGUUUGUUGUACACCGCCGGCAAGCACGAGUUCAUGGUGCUGGCAUACCUGUACGUCACCAACAUAGAGCUGAUAUGUGGAGAGGGAGCACUUCCAAGGAUUCAGGAGCUGGAGGUUGGCGGAAUCAGGGUGGGGACGGACGUUGGUCUGCGGGGGAACAUGCCUCUCCUUGAGAGGGUCAGCUACCAUCUCGACUGCUGGGGUUGCAGCCCCGUGGAGGUGAUCAACGCAGAAGAAGAGCUAAGGCAGGCGAGCCAAGCCCACCCCAACAGUCCAGUGCUCAUCAUAAAGAGAUGGGACGGCGUCGACGUAUGUUCCAUUCCAUUUCAGGGAGCCGCUCAGUUGUCGGAGGAAGCCACCAAGUCAACAAUCAAUCCUCUUCUCUCCGGUGCCUAUGGCCAAAUCCCCCAAGCUGGCUACCUAGAUUGCAGACACACCACCACUAGAGAAAGUCCACACCAUGAAGCCAUGGAGCCAACAAGUCUACCGAUGAUCUUAUUACAGAAAAUCUCAAAUAAUUUCUCCACGAAGAGACUACUUGGUCAAGGCCACCGCAACACUCCAGCCCUCACCAUGAAGAGGUCUAACGCCGACGUAUGUUCCCCUUCAUUUCAGGGACCGUGCCGGAGUGGUUCUGAAUAUGAAGGACAAGUCUCUACCAACAGCAUUUCAGCUUGUAUCAGCAACCAGUGUACAACCAAUGUAGAGCCACAUCCACCUCGGGUCGACACGGCCGGCAGUACACUCUCACUGCUUAACAGCACAGAUGGAGCCGCUCUUCUGCUGGAGGAAGCCCCUAAGUCAACAAUCGGCCCUCUUCCCUCCAGUGGCAAUUGCGACACCCCCCAAGUUGGCAACCUAGACUGCAGCAGGCACACCACCACCGGAGAAAGGUCACCCAGUGAAGCCAUGGAGCUAACAAGUCUAACGAUGACAUUGUUACAAAAAAUCACAAAUAAUUUCUCCAAGGAGCGACUACUUGGUGAAGGCGGAUAUGGAAAAGUUUAUCUGGGUGUGCAUGAUGACGGACAAGAGAUUGCUGUCAAGCUGCUCAAUGCUAACUUGCAAACAAUUGAUAAUGAACAAUUCACACGUGAGUUUCGUAACCUUAUGAUGCUAAAGCAUCAAAACACUGUACGGUUAGUUGGCUACUGCUAUGAAACACAACAUCAACCUAUGGACUUCGAAGGAAGAUUUGUUUUUAGUGAAAGAAUACAUAAAGCCCUUUGCUUCGAGUAUAUGCCUCAGGGGAGCCUUCACGACCGUCUUUCUGAUAAAUGUAAUGUACUUGAUUGGCAAACACGUUACAAAAUUAUCAAAGGGACGUGUGAAGGUGUAAAAUACCUUCAUGAAGGAUUGGAAAAACCAUUUUACCAUCUGGACCUAAAACUGGGCAAUAUACUUCUAGAUGAAAACAUGGCCCCAAAACUUGCCGAUUUCGGUCUGUCCAAGCUCUUCAACGAAGAACAAACCUGCAGGGUGACGCAAAAUUUACGCGCAGGAACUAUUGGAUACAUGCCACCGGAAUACAUAAAUGGAGGCACGGUCUCAAAGAAGUUUGACAUAUUCAGCUUGGGUGUUGUCAUGACCAAGAUAAUUGCAGGGCCUAGCGGCCACACCAAAUGUGCUGAAAUGCAGCAUCAAGAUUUUCUUGAUCAAGUAGAAGGAAAUUGGAGAAAAAGUUUGAAAGAAACAUGGAGUUCUCCCAAGCUACUAGACGCACAAUGCCGGCAAGUGAAAAUAUGCACUGAGAUUGCACUCAGUUGCAUGAAGACGGAUAGGCACGGAAGGCCAAGUAUAGUGGAUAUCAUAAAUGACCUUAACGAGACUGAAACUUUUAUUGAAAAUGUUAGCAAUUGUGAACAAGAUCCAUCACUGCUUACUUCCACUUCAAAUAGUGUUCAACCUGCAGCAUCACCUCCACCUUCAACACAAUCUCCACCACCUUCUCCAACCAGUGGCGGAGGCAGGAAUAGUAAAUUUAUGAUCUCGAGGGGGGCCCAAUUAACAAAACAUAACAAAAAGUUUACUGUUCACGCCCAAAAUGCAAAGAAGUGGCUAAUGUCGGGGAGGGCCGGGGGCCCUGUUGAUCCCCCCCUGCCUCCGCCACUGUCUCCAACACCAUCUGCCAUUGCCACCUUCUCCAACGUUCUGACGCUAGGCCAUGAUGAAAUUGAUGUAACGUGGGAUGCUAAAGAUCAAUUCCCUGAGAAUUCCAAAGCUGAGGUGGCAGGUGUAGGAGAGGAGGAGGACCUACCAGUUGAAUCGUCUGCAAGGGUUCAAGAGAUGUUUGGGAAUACAGACUAA
RNAcentral lists this ribosomal RNA (4662 nucleotides) under Triticum aestivum (bread wheat). RNAcentral describes it as "partial small subunit ribosomal RNA". The record is from RNAcentral. Lineage: Eukaryota; Viridiplantae; Streptophyta; Magnoliopsida; Poales; Poaceae.